GUGUUCGCUUCAGCAACACCUACACUAAAAUUGGACCAGUAUAGAGAUUAGCAUGGCCCUGAGCAAGGCCUGACAAGCAAAUGCGUGAAGCGGUCCAUAUUUUU
Small nuclear RNA from Camelus dromedarius (Arabian camel), 104 nucleotides. Lineage: Eukaryota; Metazoa; Chordata; Mammalia; Artiodactyla; Camelidae. The record is from Ensembl.